CGGGGACUCGGUGCGGAGCCGGGGCGCCGAGUGUCUCCGUGUCCCUCUGCCCCAGCCGGCGGCCGCGAUGGUGGAGCUUGGCCUCUCGCUCUCUCCCGCCUCUCCAGCGACUGCUCUGCCGGCCGCGGAGGUCGGAUCGAGCGGUCAUUCAUUCAUUUGUUAAUUCGUUCACUUAUUCAGGGGAGAUCAUUGAACCCCUACGGAGUACCGGGUACUGGGCCGGGCGCUGAGGACGCGGGGCUGAGCAAAAGCAGCCGAGGCCCACCUUCGUGCCCCUUAAAACCCAGCGUGCGGGGCGGCAACGAGUACUGCUUUUCUGUUUUGCACUUAAAAUUUACAUUUUGCAUCCGUACUUUUUAUUUACUGUGCACCCUUACGGCAUGCUUUACGCACCCGUACCUGCACCUCCUAGCCUUGAGUGUAGACACCAGAUCCUGAGAUGGGCGAUUUUUCGAGAAUAAUUUUUACCCUAAGUGGAUUUUCGUGCCACGCAUGGACUUGGAACUACACACACGUAGUCCAAAACGUGAAAGUCAAAAUGCAGCUUUGCCAAGUGGCAGGGAGAAAGGAGAGCUGAGAAGAUGAGGAGAGGAAGGGCGCGCUCCAGGCUUUCCAGCCCGGGUGCGGUAGACGUAGCCCUGAAGGAUGAACCCAGGCUGGUAGUAGGGCGGCGGGAGGGCGGGGGGACCUGUCAGUCAAGUCCAAAGCAGAAACGCGGCGCCGGAUCCCAGUCAGAGGCCGGCUGGAACGCUUCCCACAGGCUCCUGGCGCUCCGGUCCCCACCAGGCGACCUUGAUCCUGGCGUGCUCAGCGGAGCCAGCGCAGCGUCGGGAGCUGGAGAGACGCGGGGCGCCGGCUGAGCGCUCCUGCCCUCUGCCUCUGGGCUAGCCUCUGGCCCGGCCUCCCGGCCUCCCCCAGGGUACGCUCUCCCCCAAGAGCGAACACCAGCUUUGGGAUCGCCAGCAGCCACGUCUCUGCUUCUAGAUCUCUUUUUUUUUUCUUUGAGACUUAGUUGAUAGCUGUUUAAGGAAUUAUGUGGAGGAAAUCUCACCUCCGACCCCCGCCCCCGUUGAGCACGGCCGGCCAGGGUCGCUGGGUGGGCCAGGAGGAAAGAAAGGGGCGGGGAAGAAGCAGCAAUUUUACUUUAAAUUAAAAUGACACAAAAAUAUUUUUUCAACUCAGAUCUUUCUGAGACAUCCCCAGAAAGCGUUGCAAGCUGUGAUUACACCUAAUGUGAGAGCAUGAACUAAUUUAAGAGGUGAGAGCUGCAUAAUGAGGCUGCCUCCCGUGUAGCAGCCAAGACUGGCAGCUCUGGCGGCGCGCUGGAGGGGACCGGGAGGGGCACCCUUGUAGAACCAGUCCCUGGCGCCCUGGGAUCUUCUCAGUGCCCUGGCGCUGUGUUGUCGGUCACUCCACAGAUAUUACAGGGUGCCUCCUGAAUGCCGGGUUGCAAUCAAGAGCAAGAGAUGGGGCGAGUGAAAGAGCCUGUUUUCAGGAGCUCAGCAUCAGGAUGACGAUUACCUAGAGGGAGGUGGUGGCCAGCCUCCCCCUCUUCUCUUCAUGCUGAGGCUCUGGUGGGCAGUGCCCAAGCCUGAACUGCCAUCUGUAUGCCAGUGGUUACCCAACUUGUAUUUUCAGUCUUAGCCUCUCUCUGGUCCAGACUUGUCAUUCUAAGGGCCCUUUUUCACUGACUCACAUUGUCUCCUCCCUCCCUGCCUUCCAAACUCAGCCUUUUCCUUUUUCCCUUUCCCACUGACAACAGCUGCACGACCCCCCCGCCCCCCCACGAGGUGAAAAUUCCCAAGAACCCCAUGUCUAACCUAACUCCCUCUCUAUGUCCUGUUGCUUGAGCCAUUCUCAUUAGGCUGCCUGUUCGGAGUUCAUUAUCUCCUAAUUUUUCAUCCAGGAAUUGAUGAAGAAUCACCUACUGCCUCUCCCACACACUGUUUAUUCUUUCAUUUGAUGAUAUCUGUUAAGUGCCCUGAGAUAUGUAACCUCCACUUCCCUCCCAUAUAAGUGAGAUUUCACGUUGAUUACUUCCUUGGCUUUCCUCAUCCCUUAUCCACAUAGCAUGUGUUCAAAAUAAUGAAUAUUAAUUUAAUGUUAAUAGAUAUGUGCUUUCCUGAAUUGUGAGGAUUAAAUGAAAUCAUGUAUAUAGGGAGGAAAAUCCAUUAGAAACCUCAAAAGCAGUUAUGUUUAUUUUUGCUAUUGUCACAUUGUUAGAGUCAGAAUUCUUUUAGCUGCAAGUGACAAAACCAACUCAAACUGGCUUAAGGACUUUAUUGGUUGAUGCAAAAAGCCUCGGGUUAGGUCUUGCCAUUUAAGGUAGGGCUGGAUCCAUCAAUCCGGGUUACCAGGAUCUGUUUUCUAGUUGUGGCUUCAUUUUCAGACAAGUUGUUUCCAUAUGAUAGCCUCAUAGAAGGUACUACCAGCUUAGUCCUAGCAAGAAAAAAGAGUACUUACUCUUCAAUAUUUGCAGCAGAAGUCCCAGGUCUGUUCUUAUGAGGGCAGUUUGAGUCACUUGCUCUUCUCUGAACGUGGAGAAGGCACUGUUUAGAUGAUGGAGGUUGGAUUCAGGUGCAUCCCCUGGAAUGGGGUUUGGCAUUAGCUUCACGUGGUCUAGAAUAAAGGGGUUCUCCAAAGGAAAAUUAGGGUAGGAAUGCUGAGUAAGCAGAACAAACAGAUGUCUACUUUAGUCCUUCCCAAAGGGUGAGCUGCAAUACAUUGCAGACUAUCAGAAUGGUGAUGAACACGGAUGCAGUAGCCAAGAAAAUAGAUGUGUGUUUGUCGUGGUCUUUUUCAGUCUUCAAGAUCUCAGUUAAACAUGAAGUCAACCACUCACUAUGAUGUUAUUUGAGGUUUAGCUUUGAAGUGGAAAUGUACCACAAAUAGUAGAGCCAGAUAAAUACAAAUAAAUAAUUUUAACAGUCCAUUCUAAAAGAUUUCUUUGGUAAUAUUCUGUUGGAAUUGAUUUCUAUCUUUUCAUUUGUUAGGUUCCUGGAAAGUGAAAAUUUCAUUUCUUUGUGGACAGGUACCUAAAAUGUCUCAUUAUUCAUCAAUUAAUGAAAAACAAAUGAAAAUUUGAGAGAGAUAUUCUGAAGAAUAAAAGGAUCAAGUUGGGUCAUUUCUAAAAUGUAAGAUUAUAAGGUUUAACUUGCUAAGACUUUUGAGGGGUUGAAUUAUUGGUAAAUUAUUAUAGAACCACUUAUCUGAGGCUUUUAAAAGUGAUGUGUUACAGAGAUUUAGGGAACUGCAAGAUUGCAGAUAAAGAAUUUAUACUGUCAACUGUUCUAUACUUUACCUUCUGCUUUAAAUGCGGCCUUAUAUUUUGAAGUCAAACAUUUAUUUUCUCUCACUGCGUUCUGAAUUUCCUACCACAGUGCAUUUUGAGAAAUGAAUAUAACAGCAGUCUUCAUAGAUGCCAUAUUCAUGGCAACUCUGUCCCCCGCCAACACCACACCCUGGAAAAAAACCAACUUUCUAUUGUUGGAAUGAGGUAACAUUUUCAGGAAAAGGGAACCAUUUUCUCACAGGAUAUAGAACAAAUUCAACCUUUUAUUAAAUCAAAAUGGAUUCUCUAAUGUUUAUACAUAUCAUAUAGGAUUUCAUCUCUUUCAAUCUUGGUUCAAAGGCCCAGACAGUACCAUUCCCUAGUAUUUAGUCCAUUUGCUCAUAAAGCAGAAGAGAAAAGCUACUUUGUUCCGAAGGGUGUUAGAUUUAGGAUUCCAAGGUUAUUUCAAAUUAAUGCCUGGAACUAGACUAUAAAAUGCAGGAAAGAUUCUAAGUUGUUCAAAGAUGAAAUAUCUUAACUUUCACCAAAAACUCUGUCUUCUGGGUAUUUUUUGUUUUUCUGCCUUUCCAGAUUUAUUUUAAAUACAACAUUUUUGCUGUUUACAUUUUUAAAAGUUACAUUUCAAAAUUGUUCAUAAUUGGACACUUUCAUAAAAUGUAGGCAAAUGCAGUUUUACUUUUUAAUGAAGGACAAGUCUGUUGAUAACAUUUUGAUUCUUAAAAUUUUUUUUAUCUUAUAAAAAUGAAACAAUGCAUUUAAAGUGUCUUCAGCUCUUAUGUUAAUACCAAAUUAUACAUUUUCUUAGCCCAUGUUCAGGAGAGACAAUAUAUCUUCCAAAUUAAGAGAAGCUGGCACCAUUUUUAAAACAAGGCCUUGAAUCUGCUGUGGUAUGUGCUGGUAGGAAUUUUGUAUGAAGCUGUUAUUGAAGUAGAUGACAUUAAGGUCAAAGGAAAAAAAAAACAGAAAAUAAUGUAAUCCUACAGAGCUGCUCUUAAGAUCUUGAGAGAAAAACCACGUAGGUAACAUCAAACACUAGUUGGAAUCUUUCCAAGAAGUAAUUAUCUGUGUGCUGUUUGUGGUGGUUGAUUAUGGGAACAAACCAAGGUUUAGCCAAUUCAGCAAACAUUUAUGGAGUGCCUGCAAUGUGCAUGUCACUGUUUUAAGGCCUGUGCCUACUGUAAAGGUGACCCACACAUGAUGCCUGCCUUGCAGGACUUGGAGUUCAGCGAUAAUAAGAGAUGCAUACCUGAAAAGCCUAUUUAAGACUCUUCCGGUUCUACAAAGAAGGCUUCUUGAAAGUGGUAGCUUUGAUUACUCUUUGGAUUUAUUUACAUUUAUCCUAUAAUCAGAAGGUAUACAAAACAGACUCACACAUAUAUAAAAUUAAUAGAUUAGAUAGCAUUUAAACAAAUAUUUCAGGUAGGUACUUCAAAUGCAUUUGACAUUUAUCAAAGAAAUGGUAAGUGCUGUCAUCCGUGGGUGGCUGGAUUAACAUGUGGGACUACUUAUCACCAAUUUUGUUAGGGAUCUUAGGGAAAUUCCUGGAUCUUAUAUUCACAAGCAAUUGUAUAAAUACUUCCCACAGCUCAGAGACCUAAUAGGAUGGGGUCUUAGAGAAACAUCUUUUGAGCCACAGACUUCUUUGUUACCAGAAGGAAAAUGAAAGAAGAAAUUUAAAUACCACUUGAAGAGAGAGAGUGUGAAGAAAUGACCCUGAAAAGCCUCUGGCAGAGGAUUCUUCUUUCAGGAUGGUGUCGCCUCCUCAGCAGCCCAUCCUCCUCCCCUGGACUCAAGCUCUCAUUCCAGUAACACUCCUUCCUCCUUCUCCAUCUUCAGGGGGAGGUUUGCCAGUCGGUGGGUUCUAAGCAUAUCUCGCUGAUUCCCCCCAACCCUGCCGACACCUCUGUAGGUCGUCCCUUCAUUAAAAUCUCUCCAUUUGAACUAUCUGAGUUUAAUUCCAUUUCCUCCUGGUAUCUCAGUGAUACACGGUAUCAGUACAAAAAUCUCGCUUCACCUUCAGAACCAACAGAUUUGAGACAUUUUAUCCUCUGUGGAACCAUUAGUUAUUUUGUCAUUGGUUGUAUCAGAAAAAAAAAUCAGGAAUGCAAAUCCUUCUUUAUUACAGAUUCAGAUUUGCAUAUUACCAAUGUUAUAUAUUUUAAACAAAACUAUUCAUCAUAAGUUUUAAAAAUUAACUACUGGAGUAGUUAAUGAAUCUGAAUGUAAUUAUGUAGCUUUCAUAAUAUUAAAGUAAAAAUACUAAAAGAAGUAUUUCUUAAAGAAGCAAAUGCUCAAUCUCCAAGUAAAUUUUAUUCUAUGCUCUUCCGGUAUAAGAAUAUGUUAAUAUCUUGAAAAAUAUCAUAUUAUUUUGUGAACUCAUAAAGCUAUUUUGAGUUUUUGUAAAAUGAAAACCUUACCAAAAUGUAUUUUAUUGUUGGAAAGCUUGACCGUUACUGCUGUUUAAUUUUUUGAGCUUGUAAACUUUAUUUGUGCAUGUUUUCAACAAAGAAGGAUUUUAUUGUUAUUACAUAAAACAGGUGAUUUCUAGAUUUUAAAAUCACAAAUUGAAAGCAAGGCACAAUAAUAUAUAUUUCAAGAUAUAGGUACUUAGGAGGCAUCCUUUUAGUCAUCUGUUCAAUGUAGCCAUCUAUUUUACACCUACUGUCUACUAUUGUUUGAGGUCCUUGCCAAAGUAUUGCAGGCUAGUUAGGAAACAUAAAACAAUUAGAAAGUAAUCUAUGACAAGUAAGCUAUCUAUAAAUGGCAAUGAAGGGUAGAACAAAUUCAAUGAAAAUAUCUAUUUAAUCCUAGUGUUUACUGGUCUAGAAGAAUAGGCUGAGUAAAUUAGUAUUUCUCUGGCUGUUGUGGUAACACAUUGCAUGCUAUAACAGUUUUAAGUAAUUACAGGUGCAUUGAAAUUUAUCUAUGGCUUUGUCAUCAUAUUCUAAAAUGUCAUGAGUACUUUUUUCUGACCUCAAUUACUAUGAAAUUGGUUUCCAAUAUUUAAUUAACCAAGAAUAUCAAGUCUAUAGGGUAUUAUUAAGGUGAGACUUCUGUAGCCUUUUCAAUAAAGACCAGAAUUUUGGAGUGCCUUGAACCUUAAUCAUUGAUCUUUAAUUCUUAUUAAGUCAACUGCCCACCUUUUAAAGACUGAGGCCCAGGAAGAGUAAGUUUCUCUGAGACAAUGCAUACAGUACAGUGCUUCUUGGGUAUUGGCUCUAAGACCAGAUGCAAAGAAAGGCUAAAAUCCCAUUUCAUUGUUCAUUAGGUGAGAACCCUUUGUUAAGCUGUGUAACCUCUGUGCAUAGUUUCCUCAUCAGCAAAGUCAGAAAAAGUAUGUACCUGAAGGACUGAUUGUAAGGCUGGGAUGAGAGAAUCCAUGUGAUCAGCCCUCACCAACAGGUGCUGCCCAGUUCAUGAGUGCUGCUGCUGUCCUGCCCAAGUACCCAGCUUGCAGAGUGCCAGAGUUAGAGUCCCAGGGGUGUUCUCCACAGCUGCAUGCUUGAUCCAGGCCUAUCAGGUGAGUUGGCUCUUGGCUAGUGGUUUUUCUUCUCUUGCUGUACAAAAGUCCAGACAGUAAUGUCUUUUUUUCAUUUUUAUAGAUAUAUUCCAUUGAAAGUCCUCAUUCUCAAAUUUAAAACAAAGACUUUUUGUGUACCUCAAUAGCAAUGCACACACAGUUGGCUUCACAAACAUAUUGUACAUUUCUUUUUUUCAUAUUUAUUCAACAAAUGUAUAUUGACUACCCACCGUGUGACAGGUGUUAUUUGUUGACGGAACCAGGCAUCAUCAGCAAACAAAACUGACAAAGCUUCCUGCCCUCUGUGGAAGGCAUCUGAGGAAGAGACUGGAUUUUGUAGCAACAUGUUAUUCUCAUUAUAAACUUUAUCAUUGGAAUACUAAAGCCAAAUCAUCCCCCAUCUCCUUGAUCAGGAUACCCACUUAAUCUAGGCAGCUACACAAUUGUGAGAGCCUUUGUUUUUUUCUGCUGAAACAUCCUUAAAAAGAUACCUCACAACCCAAGAUUUGGCUUUUCUUAAAUACGAUUUUUAAUUUUUUUCAUUUCUAUCUAGAGAUUUAAUUGGAAAUGGAAAAUCAUCAAUUUUCCAAUUAAAUGUCUGUUCCAAUCAACAUUAUACCUUUUAGGUUGUCAUUGUCAUUUUUAAGUUUAAGCAACUUUAAGGAUUUUGAAUCUGGCUGCCUGUAAAUUAAAGGUGAAAGUAAUCA
This 7519-nucleotide long non-coding RNA is filed under the name Homo sapiens (human). RNAcentral describes it as "HSALNT0385790". The record is from RNAcentral. Lineage: Eukaryota; Metazoa; Chordata; Mammalia; Primates; Hominidae.